UACUGUGGUUCUUGGAUGCCCAAGGGAAAGAGAUUUUUAUUAUCAUUGGUCACAGAACUGCCAAAUGUUAUCUCAUAAAUCUGUGUCUUUCACAAUGGAUGAGGCUGGAGCCUCGAACAGCACCAGCCUGGCCCCUGCACCCCGGAGCUCAGGGAUGCCCAGCGCCCUCCAUGCAGGCAGGCUUGGGCUCCAUGGCUGCGCUCGCUCUUCUGACCUGCACAUGACUUGGCUCCCAGAUCUGCCAUGUGGGGCUGCACCUGGUACUUCAGUGAACGGAAUAAGCAGAAGGAAUUGCUUAUCAGGACCAUCAGGAGCGUGCCACUCUGCAGAGAGGAGGACUUGAACCUCUGCAGUUCUCUGAUCUACUUUACAUGCACAUGUAGCUCGCCCCAUGUGGUCAGACCAUCCUUCCUGUUUUUCUGACCAACUGCUUUGUAUGAACAAAAUAAGUGGUGCCUUGAUACCCAGACAUCCACCCUGCACUCCCUGAAAGCCAUUUUCAGAUAUUCAAUUGUACUGUUCAAUUGUAGAUAUUCAAGGUGCUUUUGAUACUUUGGUAUCAAAAAAAAAAACUUUGGUACUUUUAGGUUCCAUCCUAAAAACAGGUGUUGGAUCCUUUGGUUACAGUCAAUGAAUACAGCCUUUACAGUUUACUGCUUGUCUUUGUCUCCUGCUUUACUCAGAGGAUGGCUUAUUUGUACCUGUCUUUUGGGCUUUGCUGAUAGUUUAUCUAGAAUUCAGCCAUUAAGCUGAACAUGCCUAUGCAUGUCGCUCCAGUUAAUCUAAUACAGCUAAUCUGUCCCUUGCAACAAAAGAUGAUGAUGUCACUUAUCAAUAGGUAAAAAACAAAAACUUUUUUUUUUGAGGCUAUCUGUAAAGAUUGGUGUCUGUUUAUACAUGGGACUGACUGAAGCCUACAGUGACUAGUGACAGUAGAAAUUUUUUCCAAUUCAUUUUAACGGUUAUACCAUCUCCCAUAGUCAAAUCUGUUAUCAGAGAGCAUUUCUCAAAUCUGUUUUCUAUGAAGACAGAAAACAGCUGAAAUAUGUCUGUAAAAAUAUAGAAAUUCAAAACAUUAUAGUUCAAUCUAGUUAAUUAAAUUAUGAGCACACAAUAGGGAAAAAUUGAAAACUGAAAUGUAGAUCAAGGAACAUGCUGAAACUUAAUUCAGAUUGCUUUUUCUUAUUUAUAUUCUGAAUUGCAUUAUGCUCUUUUGAACUGCUCUUUUACAGAAGGAGACUAGUACUUAGUGAUUUUGCUCUGAUGACUGAGCAAUACUAGAAAUAGAAAAUAGUUCUAAAAGAAUCAGUUAUAUGGACAUUUGGGAUUCAUAAUGGAAGAUA
RNAcentral lists this long non-coding RNA (1343 nucleotides) under Anser brachyrhynchus (Pink-footed goose). Its description in RNAcentral is "lncRNA (ENSABRG00000012074.1)". The record is from RNAcentral. Lineage: Eukaryota; Metazoa; Chordata; Aves; Anseriformes; Anatidae.